This is an RNA transcript of Notothenia coriiceps (black rockcod), 1017 nucleotides long. It is a transcript of the gene named OCIA domain containing 2, with no coding region annotated. The transcript is spliced from 7 exons. The record is from RefSeq and is a predicted model, not a curated record. NCBI's taxonomy places the organism in Eukaryota, Metazoa, Chordata, Actinopteri, Perciformes, Nototheniidae.
UUACAAGUGGUUUCGUCAGACGCACUGAGAGAGGAGUAUUAGUAUACGAGCUUGAGGAAGUAGAAAAGUUUUUGUCCAAAGAAACCCUGACAUCUUCUGCAUCAUGAGCUCUGAAACUAUAACCGUGAAGACCGGUGAAGCGGCAGCUGCUGUUGACAUUGUUGCAGCUCCAAAGAAAGCGGAGUGGAAGUGCCCUCUGAGUGAUCAUCAUGUCCACAGAGAAGAUGUGAGAAAGGUUUGGAAAGAGUGCCAAGAGGAAAGCUUCUGGUACAGAGCCCUUCCCCUCUCUAUGGGGAGCAUGGCUGUCACCGGUGGUCUUAUCUACAACGGUGUCUGGCAAACGUCAAAGAGAUUUGGACCAUUCCCAAAACUCUUAGUUGCUGGGAUCCUUGGUUUCGCAGUGGGAAAAGCAUCUUAUGUAUCGACCUGCCGAAACAAAUUCCAGGAGGUUGGCAUUGAAGGUGGACCGGGAUCUGGACCCUGGGCUAAGGGAGGUUCCUUUGGACCUUUCAAUAAAUCUGGUCAUGGACACAGAUCGUGCCACCAUGUGUGUGAAGAAUGUAAGAAGAAGGCUCAAGAUACACCUGCAGAACAAGUGAAAAGCUAGAGGUAAACAGAUCCUAUCUUGGCAGAGAUAUUUGAAAACAUAUUUCGCGCACAGCUCUGAAGCUAUUAAAAAAAAGGAUCGUCAGAAACACUGAAGGACUGACUGCCAGUGUAUAUCACUUUUUUUAGUUUCUUAAAUGCCAUGAAUACAGCGUAUAUUUUGUCUUAAGUAACUUUGAUAUGUUGCACAUCAUUAUUCAUUCAGGGGAAACCUGACACAAAAUUGCCACCAGGGGUAGCUCUCAUGCUUUUAGUCAAAGAUCCUUUGUAAUGUAUUUCAUCUGACCAUAUACCAUUUUAUUUUCAUAUAGCGAGUGCCUUAAUCAGAUGUAAUCAGUCAUUUGAUUUUAAUUAUCAGCUUAUACUUUUCAACAACUUUCCAAAACAAUAAAUACUCCAUAUAAUAUAAAA